Papaver somniferum (opium poppy) is the source of this 956-nucleotide long non-coding RNA. RefSeq lists it as uncharacterized. The transcript has 4 exons. The record is from RefSeq and is a predicted model, not a curated record. NCBI's taxonomy places the organism in Eukaryota, Viridiplantae, Streptophyta, Magnoliopsida, Ranunculales, Papaveraceae.
UUCUCCUCUUCUCUACAGAUGAAGAGAAAAAUCAUUACGGACUCGCUAUCAUACGUUUUCCGAUAUCUAAAAAGAUUGCUUUAUCAGAAAAUCAUAAUCAAAAAGUUGGUUAUAAUCUCUUGCACUCUUCUUCAGAAAUCCAGGGUUAAUAAUUCACACGACCCUGCUUCUUCCUUUGUUCAAACAACAGAAGAUCCAUCUGAUUCAAGAUGUGUUCCUUCGAUUUUUAUCUGCAAAACAAGAUUUAGAUACCACCCUGAUGCAUUUGUCUUCUUGAUGUUUGGGGCUUUGGUGGAGAAAGACAAUUAGGUACCGUUGCCUGUGGAGCUCGGCAUAAUGCAUCAAUAACAGAGAUCUUGAGCAAGAGAUAAGAGAUGCAAUGUAUGGAUGCACUGACUGUCGUGGCAUAAACAUGUCUACCUGCAUUGAACAUCAUGCAUGCCUAUCACUGUUAGGAGAUAAUCGUCCAUCAGUAGGUCUUUCUGCUGGAUGCCCACUAAUUUCCGAUGGUCUUUACCGAAUCAACAAUGUACAUGUACAUAACUCAAUCAUCACAAUUACUAAGAAGUUGAACUAAUUUUGGAACUUCAAAGUGGGAUUAUGUGGUGACUUGAAUAUGCAUGAGAGCUUUCAUUUCAGAUAAGUCUUAAAAAAGGUGAUCCAUAUGUAGUCUGUGUUACUGUUAACUUAGUAUGUUGUCAGUGAUGAAGGAAGAUCCGUAAUAUGCUCAGAAACGGACUAUACUGUUGUGCAUUUGAGGCAUGGUGACUGACCCAAGUUGUUGUGUGACACCAUUUGCAAGCUAAAGGAUGUAGCUACACAAGCGAUAGACUUAUCAUGUUUGUCUUCACGAACCUUAUUGUGAUUCAUGCAGAAUAGUUAAUUAUUGUUUGUGACGCUGUAUUCUUUAGUGAAACUCAUAAUGAAAAAUUAAUAUAUGGAUAUUCAAUUUUUAA